This 37038-nucleotide long non-coding RNA is filed under the name Gossypium barbadense (sea-island cotton). RNAcentral describes it as "long non-coding RNA (GBAR_LNC019492)". The record is from RNAcentral. Lineage: Eukaryota; Viridiplantae; Streptophyta; Magnoliopsida; Malvales; Malvaceae.
AAAAAAAAACCUCAACCUUUAGGGGCAUUUAGAUAUAUGCUCCUAACCUUUUUAUUUUCUAAAAUCGACCAUUCACAUAACGGAUUUUUCAAACAUCAACCCAGUUGAAACGGUAACCGCCAGCUGACCGUUAGUCAACAGCUAGUCAAAAAAAUUAUCUAUAUGGCGUUCCAGUUGAUUGAUGACGUGGCAAAAAAAUUAAACAAAUCGACAACAUCGUUACGAUCAGCAUGCUAUGGGGUGGUUCGUUGAACGGAGAAGAAGCAAAGCUUGGGCUUGAAAUUAAGGAUCGGUUAGAGGAAUUUAUGACAUUUUCCCGAUGCUUAGGCCAUUCAAUUUACAAGGAAUUGAAUCCAAAACCAAGAAGCAUUUGUCGUGGUUUUAUGGGUUUCUCGAAUCAGUGAUAAAGCAGCGAAUGAAGCUCGGAGAGGGACCAAAAAUGGCGGACAGUAAGGAUUUUCUGCAGCAAUUGUUGGAGCUGAACCAAAUAUGAGAUGCCAAAACUUCAUUAUCCACGGCAGACAAAAAGACCUUUCUGUGUGGGUUCAUCCUUCUAUUGUUGCUUAACCGGUUCUAAAUUUGCAUGAGGAUAUGGUAUUGUACAUGUUUGACUUUAUGCAUAUUUCUUCAGCCACGACUCUUGAUGGCAAUGGCCAGGGAUGGAUUAUUACCUGCAUUCUUUUCUGACAUCAGUACACGCACCCAAGUUCAAGCAAAGCGCACAGUGACAACCGGUAUGCUUGCUUCAGUAUUGGCUUUUUUUUAUGGAUGUUUCGGAAUUGUCCGGGAUGGUAAGUUGUUUCAUACCAAUUAACUAUGAAGUACAAACGUUUGUGGGGAAGAAUGUAUGUCUGUUAAGCAUAAGAUGCUUUUUUUCUUUCUCUGGUGUAGGUUAGUGUUGGUACCAUGAAGAAAAAUGGUGUUUGGCAAGAGAAAAAAUGAGAGAAAAAAAUGGCAGCAGACGGUGGAGAAAAAAAACACAAUGAUUUUAAGUUGAAAGUGUGGAGUGAGUUUACAAAAAUUGCACAAAAGCAUGAUUAUAAUCAUGGUAAUGGAGAUUCUUGUAGAUAAAAUGAGGCAACCAUAUGUUUUGAAGGAGAAAAAUGGUGUUUGGCAAGAGAGAAAAUGAGAGAAAAUUUUUUGUUAAAUAGAAGACGUUAUCUAUGAUGCCGCGCGCUUAUGUGGCAUGCCACAUGAGCUAUUAUGUUAAACUACAGUAUGUUGACCGUUAAAAUUGGGCUGAUUUUUUAAAAAAUCGUAAUGUUGAGGGUGUCAAUCAAAAAAUAAAAAGAUCAAAGGUACAAAACCAAAAAUCCCCAUACGUUGAGGUUUUUUUUAUAAUUAUGUCAAAUUUUAACAAAAUAAUCAAUUUAUACUUCUCUUUUUUAACAUAUAGGAGCUAAUGUACUCAUUUUUUAGUUGAGGAAGCAAAACACGAUUAAAUUUCUAAUACAAGAAUUUCUAUGGUACUUUUAUCACGAAAUAAAUUAUAUUAUUAUUGAAGUGUUUUUAUAUUUUUAUAUAAUAAAAAAUUCAUAGAUUUGAAUUUACGAGAAAAAAAAAUUUUCACUUAACUUUCAUUUCAACUAAAGAUUAAUUUACUUUUUUCAUAAGGUUUUAGUAAAUAUAUUUAUCACAAAAAAUUUUUCACCAAAAGUCACGUGGGUCUAUUAUAAUCUAAUACUAAUAGAAUAGAAGAGGAAGAAAAUACUAAUAUAAUAGAAAGAAAAGAAUUGUCUUUUCUGCAUACUUGCUUCGAUUCCGUUGCUACUGCGAGCUUUACGAAUCGAUCAAAUCAUAUAAAUAUGUCUUCAACAUGACAUAGAUUCUCGAAAAGAUCUUGAAACUCCUCAAAAUAUGAAAGUCAGGAUAUUUCAAAAAAAUGGAUUCGAGUUUUUGGUCAAACUUUUUAUUAAUUUUCAAGUUCCUUCAGAAAGCAUUGGAAUACGUUUUCUUUUUGUAUAAGGUUCUGAUUAUUAAAUUUUUCGUGAUGAGGGAAGAGAUUCUGUUUAAAUUUUGGCUCCAUUGAUAUCGAGUUUAGUGUAAUAUUUUAACUUUUUUUUCUUACUACUUCUUUUUCCUUAUUAUAUAUAAUACAAAACUUUAACUAUAAGCUCAUUCACUGUACUUCUUCAAUGGAAAAAAUUCCUAAAAGCUUGAGAAAAAUGUUGGGAGGCUUGUCCUAUUUAUAGAUGAAAGAAAGAGCAUAAAAAAGGCGCUUAAAAUGCUAUGUGGAAGUGUUGGUGACGAUGGUAACAAGCCGACCGCCUUCAUGGAAGGGAGGAAGGAAGAUAAGAGAGAGGAGAAAGAAAAGAGAAGGAAGAAGAACAGAGGACAGCAAAGGAGGUGAAUGGGAGGGGAAAGAUCAUCAAGAGAGAAGGGAGAGGAGAGUGUAGGAAGGAGAGGGGGGCCGACGACUGCCAUAAGACCACCACCGCCGAUUGAAACUGGCAAAAAAAGACUUCUCGAUAUUACAAAAUGAUAGAGAAAAAUACAGGGACUAGAAGAGAACUCUAUCGUGACUCAUGUAUUCACGACUUCUCCAAUAUACCAAAUACUCAGCCUUUAUAAAAAUCUGAUUUUGUGUUAUUGGUCGAACUAUUAACCAAAUCACUAAUUUAUUUAACCUGUUUAACUAACCGAUCGGGAGAUCCUUGUCUUGUCUGGGAAGCGGAUCGGACAAACAUUCUAAUUAAAAAAACAAAGUUUUUGACACGUGGUCAUUCUAUGUCACGUGUGCUUGAAGGAUGCGCUUGACUGGUUUAGAGAAUGGUACUGGGUUUCUCCCUUUAUGGGUGUCCUUUCCAAAAAUUUUCAUUUUGCUUCGGUUUCCCCGCAACCAAACAUAUACUUCACACUGUAAAUCAUAUUGCAGUUUCUCUCUCUCUCUCUCUCUCUCUCUCUCUCUCUCUCUCUCUCUCGUUCUAUCUCUCGUUCUAUGGAUGGAAAGGCGGUUUUUAUCGAAUUUUAAAUUAUUUCUUUGCAGGUAUCUGAUAGAGCAAGGAAAUAUUAGAAACACCAAGAAGAAAAAGGUACAAAACUUUAAUUUUUAGUAUCAUGUUUUCCAUAAUUGUUUGGAGUUUGGAUCCAAAACUUGUGGGGUUUAUUUAUUUUUAUUUGUUUGAUUUAAUGUGGAAGGGAGAAAUUCUUUCUGUAUCCCAUAAAGGUAAAAGGUUGCAUUUUUCAUUAAAAAAAAAUCUGUAGUUGGCAUGGCUACGGGUAACUUUGAUCAAUGACAUUCUAAAUUCAUUUUCUCAUGCCAAAGAAGGGCAGUAUACGAGAGAGAUAAUGGUGUCCUUUAAAUCUUGCGUACCCCAAACAUAAAACAGGAUAAGAUCAUCAAACUCUUUUCAUUUUCUGAAGAGAAGAGAGAGAGAGGGGGAGGGAGGGAGGGAGGGAGAAGAAAAUGUCUCCUUUGUUUUCUGAUAUUUGUUUUUGCUUUUCAGAAUGGCAAUUUUGGAGGAAUCAGUAGUGGAUUCAAAGAUUUCUCCACCAAAUUCAUAUGGAGCUGUAGUUCUUGGCGGCACGUUUGAUCGCUUACACGAUGGUCAUCGUCUCUUCCUCAGAGUAAGCACUUAAAAAAAAAAUCUCUAGUUCUCACUUUCAGCUUUCUUUUUCUUUCAAAAUUUUCAUCUGAACGGAUCAAAUUUCAAAAGAAGUGUGCAUUGUCAACAGUCAUCAACUGAGUUGGCUAGGAGCCGGAUUGUAGUUGGAGUUUGUGAUGGGCCAAUGUUGACAAACAAACGGGUAAAUGCUGUGUUGUGUUUUCUUAGGGGCGAUUGUGCGUAAUAACCUAAUGAACUGCUAUUAUAUGUGGUUUUAGUCAUUGAUAACUGAUUUUUCAUUCGAGAAAAUUUCAGAUAGAUGAGUAGCAAUUUUGUCUAGCUUAACUGAAAUCAGUUUGAAAGGAAACAAAUUUUAUGUCUGAACUCUGUUGUAGUUUGAUAUAAGUUCCUUCUCUAGACUGUAUUACUUAUUGCAAAAUCCCCUUUUGUAAGAGUUGUGAUGAGCACCAAAACCCUAUUUGUUCCUCAACAUUACUAUUUAAAAGAUAUACGUAUUUCAACUUGUUGCUUUUUGUCACAUGUCCAUGAUGGUAAACCGUUAGUGCGGACUUGGUUGAGUUAUUACUCCAUUAUGGUCCUUUCAAAGAGGUGCUUUGCAAACGGAUAUUACAUUCUAGCAAAAAAGUGAAUGCACUCUUGAAGUAAAUCUGUAUCACUGCCGUAUAAAUUUAGACCUAUUUUAAUGUAAGAGAUGAUGUUUUCCAUUUGAGACAUCAAGAUAUUAUGCUUUAUUUUUAUUCCAAGCUGUUGAAAUUCCAAGAUUACAUGAUAUAUAUCGUUUUUUUGUUUCUGUAGUACUCUGAUUUAAUAGAGCCCGUUGAGGAAAGGAUGCAUAAUGUGGAAUGUUAUAUAAAGGUAAAUGAAGGAAUAUCUUGUUAAUGUCUUGCAUGUUGAACCAGGAAAAUGUAUUUAUUCGAUUAAUUCAUUUUAUUUCUGUGAUUGCACCACCAUUUUUUUAAUUCAACUGGAGUUGAAUGUUUUAUGCCAGCUUGAAGUGAGGCUGCAUUAAGGUUAAUGGAUAUAGAUGGCGUGUAUCAAGUUGCAUGUGUUUCCCUUGCCUGUCAUUAUUUUGUGUGUCAGCUAGAUGACACUGCAUCACCUUCUAUCUAGUGUUCUAUAUCUAUUCAAUUAAGAGUUAAGAGAGAAAGCAAAAUAACACAGUACACCAUUCUUUCAACCUGAGAUGUUAUUUAUUGGAUUUUUUUUUGUAUAAUUUGUUAGCUUCUUGUCUUUGGAUAGUAUUGAAUUUGUUUAUACUUGUGCAGUCUAUCAAACCUGAGCUGGUUGUGCAUGUUGGACCGAUUACAGAUCCAUACGGCCCUUCAAUUGUUGAUGAGAAUUUAGAUGCCAUUGUUGUCAGGUUUGUAAUUGAUCAGCAUGUUUUUAGUCUUGUAAAAUAAAGCCUACAGAGCAUUUCCUUUUCGGUGUGGUGUAUAGAAAAAUAGUUGUUUUAUAUGAGUUGUGUCAGUUCGCCUUUCAGGCCUUUAGUCUUGUCUGGCUAUACGUCGAUAGUUCAUAGGUGUUCUCCGUUUUUUAACCUAGUCGGCUUUGCCAAUUGGGGUUUAUUUCUGUAGUUCAUAGAAAUGUGGUUAUGUUAAUGCAAGCUGAAUCUCCAAGGAUAUUGUACUGUUUUUAUUGCUCAAGUAGUCAUGGUCUCGGACGUGCUUUGAUUGGUUUUAAUUCUCUGCAGCAAGGAGACAAUACCAGGUGGAAUAUCGGUCAAUAGAAAGAGAGCUGACAGAGGCCUUUCACAACUAAAGGUUAGAAUUUCCGGGUUUCAUUUUCUUUGUUCAUGUGAUGAGGAUGAAUAUACAUAUAUAUAUUAAGUUGAAGCAAAUUCUGUAUUCGAAAAUAGCAAGGAGUUGGCUUUAUAUGUAUCAUGGAGUUGUGCAGAUUGAAGUUGUUGAUCUAGUUUCUGAAGAGUGUAGCCAAGAUAAGCUAAGCUCAACAACAUUAAGGAAGCUGGAGGCUGAGAAAGCUGAGAAACAGCAAGGGAAGGGUAAGCAUGAUGAUGAGUCGAGGUCAUGCCAAUGUCGAGAAGGUUAGGAAACGACUUUUAUAGCAAGGUGUCCACAAGAGAUUCCCCAAUUACUGCAAUGGCUAUGGAUGUACAUAUCAUUAUCACAUUCUACAAUGUGUUUUAUACUGUCUACUAAAUGAAAUUGAGAAGCACUAGUAUGAAGUCUCAAGGAAUAAAUAUAUUUAUAAAGUAGGUGUGUUCUUACUUUUCUCUUUAGAUUAUAUGUGCUCCUAUCGUUUCCUUGAACUAAGUACUAAAUUUUAUCAUCCAUUAAUAAUUUUCAACAAUAACAUAAACAGAAAACAAGAACUACUUAGCAAGUAUAUUAAAUGUUCAUCCGUGGCAACUUUCUUCUUGUAAUUAAAUAAAUGUCGACUUUUUUUGUUGGAAUUUAAUAGAUCCACCAGGGAGGGCUUUUACGGUAAGCACUCUGAUAAAUUUAGUUCUACAAGUCAUAAGUCAUUAAAAGAAAUUACCUCAUCGUUUUUUAUAAAUGCUAUAAUAUGUAUCAUUUGACUGCAAAUCUUUUUACGAUCUACAUAAUAUAUUUUGUAAUGAAUAGUUUUCAGUAAAAUUUGUGUUCUUAUAAAAACAUUACUCAAUUAUAAUAUUUAUUGUAUAUUUUGUAAUAUGUUAUGUAACACGAAUUAGUGUAAAAAUAUUGAUGCUGUAAAAGUAUAAUAAUUUUAAAAUCUAAAAUCAAUGGUAAACACUUGACAAGUUAAACUAUGUCCAUAAACGAAUAUAACUAAAGAAAUAGUUUAUAACUUAAAUUGAUUUGUACAUCAGCUUCAGCAACCAACGUUCACCGAUCUUGAAAACUCCAUUUUCAAUAUCCAUAUCGCACUCCAUAUUCAUUAAUCAUUUAUAGAACUCAAAGUCAGUGUCAGGCUUCUUCACAUUCGUUCUGUAACCCUUUUCGAAGUCCUUGGGAAGUAUCACAUAUCGGUUCUUGCGAACCGCAUGCAUUCCAGCUUCCUGGCAGAUGGCAGCAAUCUGUCCGAUUCCAACAUGCAUUCCAAUAAUGAGUGAAAAAGAUUUCAAGGCCAAAUCUAGAAAGAGAGACACAUAGGAUGCUAUGAUAGAUAGUAUUCACAACCAACCUCGGCAGCACUAAUUUUAUCAGGCCGACUAACAUAAUCCUCCAAGUCAACCUCAUCGCUUAGGUUCAUUUUAGCAGUGCAAACCUGUGAAAGGUAAAGAUCACCUUAAAUACAGCCAACAAAACAAAAUGCAACCUUUCCUACUCUCAUCUAACCAGGAUGGAUAAACAGAAUGAAAGGAAAAUACACAACUAGAAACAAUCACCAAUCACACUGAAAUGUACUAGUGACAAUAAUGACAUGGACAUAGAAAAUACACAUAUUGCCCUACUUGCCUGGAAAACAAGCCUCUUCUGCCUUCUAUCAGGCAAAGGGAACUCAAUCUUCCUAUCAAGCCUUCCAGGACGAAGAAGUGCAGGGUCCAAAGUGUCUGCUCGAUUGGUUGCCAUAAUGACCUUAACAUUCACAGUCUGGUCAAAUCCGUCCAUCUAGAAAUAGUUUGGAGAAAAUGGUUAAGUAAAUUUCAACUUCCUCAGACAUUUUGAAUGAUACUGUACCUUGCAGAAUCACGUCAAGAAAUUCCUUAAGUCAUACAUACCUGAUUCAGAAGUUCCAUGAGGAUUCGCUGAACUUCUCUAUCAGCUCCAGUUUGGGCAUCAAACCUAGCAGUAGCAAUGGCAUCCACCUCAUCAAUAAAGAUAAUAGCAGGAGCAUUUUCUUUAGCAAGACGGAACACAUCACGAACCAUCCGUGGGCCCUGAAACAGAAACAAUGCUCAAGAUUAUUAUCCGCCAACAGAAGAAGUGAACCGACACUAAAUAACAAUAUGAGUAACAUGAACUGUAGCCUUACCUCGCCCAAAUAUUUUUGAACAAAUUCAGAUCCAACAACUCUAAUGAAGGCUGCAGUUGUAUGGUUAGCAACAGCCUUUGCGAGCAUUGUUUUCCCAGUGCCAGGGGGGCCAUAGAGUAAAACACCACGAGGAGGGUCUAUCCCAAUCUGCUUGUAAAGCUCAUGAUGAGUCAAUGGUAACUCUACAGCCUCACGGAUUUCCUGCUUUUGAAUGUCACAUCCUCCAAUAUCCUAAGUGAAUAGAAGAGAACAAAGUCUCAGAUACAGGGAACAACCACCAAAACAUAACAAUUGUCAUUUUUAUUCCGAGAAAGGAAGAUAUGUACUCUAACAGAGUCUGUUUAGUCUAUUACAGCAGAGGACUAACCCUGACAAUAACUUAUCCCCAAAUCAAAAUAAUACAAGAAUCUUAAAUUUCAAAUAUGUAGUUGGUUCAAAUUAAAUAGUUGAAAAAUGAAAUUAAAUUUACAAUAUUAGAAAGACACAAACGACUACAAAUCAUGUAAGAUACUCAAAACAUCCCUUGCUUUGUUUUAAUAUAGUAACCAGUGAAACGACAAGAACAUUUUAAAAUGAAAUAAAUAACCACUCAAGAAUGAAAAUACUAUCCUUCCACUCAUUCUACAUGUGAAAUUUAAGAAACCACUGAAAAUGGCACAAAUUCAGUGUGGAACCCAUCAGUUUUAAAAUAACAUAGUUUCAUUAUUCAAGAAUAGGGCUGUAAUCUAUACCCAAACAUGGCUCAAGCUCGAUAGUGUUUUAUUUUCUAAGAUUGAGCUUGGCCUGAGAUAUGAUCGAACUACUCAAUUAAUCUCACUUACUCCAUUCCCAUACUUGAGCUCAAGCUCAAAUUAAGCUUUUGCACAUACAAUUUUGUAUAUUAAACUAUAUAUAAAAUGCUCAAUGGGGCUUGCGAGCUACUCGAAGCAGGUAUUAAGUUGCUCAAAUUCGACUCUCUCAUUAUCUUGAGUUGCUUGAGCUCAAACUCAGCUUGACAAAUACUGUAUCAAGCUUGAGUUUUUUGUGAUUCGAAUCCAAAUAACGUGCGAACACAAAUGUCUCUUUUGACACUCCUAUUCAAGAACUAGUGACACAACCCAAAAUUUUAGGUCAACCCUGGAAUAUUGAAGCCUAUUUUAGUUAUUAAGGAUACAGAAAGAAAGCAAAUAAGCUAAUUUCCCCACGUAACAGAUGGAAUUUGCUUCACUUUAUAUUCCAAGCUUAUGUUAAUCUGGCUAAAAGUCCAAUAAACCAAUACAGAGGAGCUCAUGAAAGGUGCAAAUUUUGUCUAACAUAUGGUAGCUUCAAAUUCAAACAUCAAAUUAUUUAAGAAUGUAAAAAGAAAAAAGACUCAAAUACUAUUCAAUUCUUCUUACUUUUCAGCAAAACUAACCUUAUCUAAUUGCCAAACCCAAAACCCCAUUUCUCCCGACAGUGGCAUACAAAAAUCCUAGUUUUUUUUUUUUUUUUAACUACACACCAAACAAAUCGAUUAACACAAGAAUUGAGGCUGCAAGGUAUAAUAAAAAAAAGGACCUAAUCCCAAUCAAUCAUCGCAAACAGAUAGCCUAUAUCCUAAAAAUAAAUCAAUAAACUACCAAACAGAAGAACAGAAGAAAUUAAAAGAAAGAAGAUAAGAAACUGACAUUGUAAGUAACAUCGGGCUUCUCAGAUUGGCUAAGCAGAGAAAUACUGGAAUCAGCCUCGGGAGGCAAUACGUCGACAAGGGCAUUGGAGUGUCGGUGAAGAGCCACAGAAGCCGAGGGCUUUAACAGCUCUCUGUUAAUGGUGCUCAAUAUCCUAACAUAGUAAUUGGAGCCGGUGGUGGAACCGACGAUUCCGUUGUUCUGAUUGACCAUCUCCAUGAACUGGCCGAUGACCAAAGGCACCGACUGGAUUCGCUUGACUUCCUCCUGAGCCCUCAAAAGCUCUCUCUUGAGAUUCUUCUGCUCAUCCUUUACGUACUCUUCUUGGAUGUCUAUGAACUCCAACUGCCUUUGAAGGGAUUUCAGCCUACUGUACAGAUCGUCCUCAUCGGCACCCAAGGGAGGGUCCAUUGUCAGGCACUUGCCGAGGUCGGUUCUUGUGGCGGGGAAUGGUGGCUCUGCCGAGGAUUUCGGUUCCGCCACCACCGUUGAGGCUGCCAUUUGCUUUCUCAGACUUUUGAGUUUGGAUUGAAGAACAAGAAAAGGUCACAACAGAAGUUAAAUAAAAAUCGAAUGGGAUAAAGGAGACCUUUGUUUAUUAUAUACUGGCAGCAAAAAUGGCUCCAUGUACAGGUGUCCCUGGUCAGGGUCGGAUUGAAUUUAGGUCGGGCCGAGUUGAAAUGCGAAAAUUUUUGUCCAAGUUCAACUCUAAUCAAGUCUGGCCUAUCGGGUCAGGUGGGUUAUCCAAUCUUUGAAAAGGUUAAUUUCACCUCUAACUUGGAUUUAAAAUUACAUUUGAUUACUUAAUUUUGAUAAAAAUAUUUCUUCAAUUUUUUUACUUUUAAAAUUGAAUAAAUUAAUUUUUUUAAAAAUGUUUAGAGUAAUUUAAUUUCUGUUAAUUUAAAAUUUAAAUAAUUAAAUAUUAAUUGUGUUUGUUCAAAAUGGUAUAGAAGUUUGUUCAAAACGACAUGUAUUUUCGAAUAUAAAUAUUAUGGGUGAAGCAUUUUAUCAUGGAUGAAGUUUGGACUUAUACAUUUCUUCUUUGUUAAUUUGAAUGUUUGGUUUAAUUUCAUGUAAUUCUAAAUAUCAAUUUUUUUAAAAGAAAAUUGGAGUAUUUGAAUUUAAGAGUGAUAUAUAACGGUGAACAAAACUCGAUUUGAUUCAAAAAAUCGAAAAAAAAUUGAAUUUCAAGUUAGUCGAAUCGAGUUAUUUGAGUCAACUCGAAUAAAUAAUUCAAAUUACGAGUUCGAAUCGAAUUAAAUUUUACAAUUCGAAUAAUAGAUUAGUGUAAAUAAUCAUUUGAUAAUUGUCAAUUUCGAAAAUGAACAAAUUGAUAUCUCUCAAUAAAAAUUAUAAAAAAAAUUUAAAAUAUUUAUAAAAUUUCCAAAUUUUAUAUAAUAUUUUUAAAAUUAUUCUAAAAAAUAUAUAAAGAAAAUUAAAAUUUUAAAAAUAUUCUAAAUUAAUAAUUUUUGGACCUAAAUAAAUAAAUUAAUAAUCCAAGUUUACUUAUCUUAAUUUUUUAUUACUUUGUUUUGAAGAAGUUUUCAAAUAUAUAUGGUUUCAAAUUUAUGUGUUCCAACAUGAAAUUAGUUAUAUUGUAACAAGAUUUUAAUUUAACACGUUUAAUUUUUUAAUUUAACUCGAACAAUUUCACUCGAUUCGAUUCAAUUCGACUCGAAUUUUAUUUUACUCAACUCGAUUCACAAAAAUUUCAAAUCGAGUUAAGAUGAUAAAAUAGGAUUCGUCAACUCGAUUAACUCAAAACUUUUUCAUUCAAUUAGAUCGAACGCUUACCCCUAGUACUAUAUUAUCUCAUUUCUAUAAGAUUGACCUAUCGAUUGCUUUUGAAGUUGCGGAUGAACUUUUUAUAAGGAUUCGGUCAUUCUCUUGUUUUUAUACAUAAAUGAGUAUUAUUAAAUUUAUUUUGAAUUGAAUGGAGUUAAAUUAAAAUUUAUAUUGUAAUUCCGUAAUUGAUUCUUCCAUAGACAUAGAUUAAAAACCCUACAUAAAACAAUUGGGUUACAUUUUUGCUGUUGUUUCAUUAGGUACAAGAAUCUUGCAGCCAAACAAUUUUAGAACCCAAUACAAAUGGUAAUAACAGUGAAGAGCUUUCAUACAACUGAUUGAACAAAGAGAUUAUUACAAAAGGGAUCUCAAGAGAUACCAAAGGCAAAAGUAAACAUUGCAAAGUCCCUAAGUCAAACCAUAAAAUUGCUUGAGACUGUUUUGAAAUGCAGGAGUUUUGUAUACAACGUACCACCCCUGUUCUGUAGGGUGAACUCCAUCCCAAAAGAAUUUGGAUCUAGGGUCUGAGCAAAGUGUGUACUUGUUUUCCCCAUUUUCAUCUACAUUUCCACAUUUAAACACUCCACUUACUCCAAAACAACAUGGCUCAAAUGGCUUCUCAAAUGUUGGAUCAUUUCCUACAAUAAAAAGAAAAGUCUUAUCAAAAUUUAAAGCUAAUUGUACUUCAUGAGUAAACGUCUCAAACUCCAAAUUGAUUCAAAAUAUUAAACAUAUUAGUAUUAUAUCAAUUAAGUCUUUUCGUCAGCUUAAGUGUUAAAUGUUAGUUUCGAUUCAAAUUGUUUAUAUAACAUGUACACUCAUUUAAAAUUCAAUAAUAUAUUUUAAAUACGUUUCAUGUCAUAUUCAAAUUGAUAUUUAACAUUAGCUCACGGUUACUCAUAGAAAGACCUAAUAAUAUGUGAUAUAUUGAAUAUUUGAUUAAUCUAUUUUUAAGACAAAAAGCUAACAAUGAAGAGUUAAAUAAAAUAUUUACCUUGAUAAGUUUCAUUCCGAUUGAAAACUGUCCAAAAGGCAUUAUAAAGAUCAAGAAUAAAGAAGGAGGGGCUGUUGGAGGUGUUGGUUUGUUGGUUCAAGAUGUUGACAACUUGAGGCAAGAGCUGGUUAUGAAGGUCAACGAGGGCGUUGUAAGUAUCGUCGCAGUGUUGAAAGGAGAAUGGGGCGGUGUUUCUAGGGAGGCAACCCAAUGGUAGCAGUGAGGUGAUGCCUAUUUUCCUCACUCCCAUGUCAUGGAUGCGUUUCAAAUUCACCAUAAGUUGGUUCAUGAGGCUUUCCAUGAAGGCCGGAAAAUCCUAUAAAUUUUCAUGAUUUUAACAAUUAAAUAUAAAAUAUAAAAAUAAAUUUAUAAAAAUAAAAAAAUUAAAUCUCAAAUUCACCCAUAAUAUAAAUUUAUAAUAUAAUCCUUUCUCGUAAAUUCUAAUACUUGUAGCUGUAUUUCACAUUUAUUCCGAGUUACCUACAAUGCAGCCAACUAUUUAUGGCUUCCAUCAAAACUACAAUAAUGUUGGUUCCUUUUUCUGUUUUGGUUGUAAAAGGAGCCUGAAUAAUUUAGUUUAAUUAGUCAUCACCAACUAUAAAUAAAACAGAUAUGGUUUUAUUACCUGUGCAGAACCGUUUUUGGCAUUGUAAGUGGCGUAGUCGUUGCCUGCAACACUGACAAAUGCGACUGAAGUUUUCAAAUUCCUUUUAGUGUAGACUGAGUCGUGGAGAAGCUGUUGUAGGAAAUCGAUUUGGGUGGUCAUGUUUGGCUCCGCAACCAUCGUGUCGAACACACCUGUACCUCCAUAAGCAAUGUUCAAUCCAUCCUUCACUCGCUCACUCAGUUGUUCCCUCCAUCUGUACGGUAUCGGUGUCUUCAUUCCCAAGCACCCCGCUGCUUCUCCAAAAACCAUUCCCAAUUUAGUCUUAAUUUGCUUUUCUUAAUAUGUAAUAAAGAUAGAAAUUAAUAUUUUACCAAUGUAAUCAGUGGAAACAAAACCAUCGGAGAAACGACCAGAAGGUUUCCCGGGAAAUGUAAUUCCGUAAGGGAAUUUCCAAGAUCUUGUCUCUGCUAUCUUAGUGUUCCCUGUAUCAGCAUAGGAAUCUCCGAACACAAACAACAUUUUUGGUCUAAAACCAAAGGGUGAUGAUGUCCAAGGCAACCUCCUACCUUCAACAACUUCUUGUUCACCUACAAUCCCAUUGUUUAACCAUCAAAAGAAAUUAUUAAAAACUCCUUGCAAAUGAAGCAGAAAAUGGGAUUAAUUUGUUUUCUUAUUACCUGAGAAAAAACAAACUAGGAAGAAACAAAAGAGUGAGAAGAGAGAGUUUUGAGUGUCCAUGGAAAAGAAAAUUUUUGGGUAAAAGAAAAGAAAGGAAAGGAAAUGGUUUGGUUUGGAUAACCUUAAGCUUGAGAAUUGAUAUUUGGAAGAUGAACGGUAAACCAAUAAUUUCUAGAGGUUAUAUGGUGGAACAUACGUAAGGCUUAAUCAAGAGUUUAAACUUAUAUUUUUCUCUAACAUGCGUAUAUUUCUCUUAAGUUGACUUGGCUAAAUGAUAGACUAGGAAAUUUUUUACUUCGAAGCAUUAGAAUAGGACGUAGGUUGUAUCGUUUGGUUAUCAUAAGGCCAUUGAGGAAAAUCUACAAAUGAAGGUUGUUGUGGAAGCCGGGGAACGACUUUGAUAUUUUUUUAUGGAGUUUAAAGUGAUACUAAUUCUUAAUGAUAAUAAGUAAUAAUAUUUUAUUAUCUAAAAAAUUAAACAAUUAGAAUCUAAAAUACGAUUAUUUUGCUGUAUAACUUUAUAUAAUCUUAUGAAAAGUUAUCUUCAAAAACAAAAAGUAAUCUAGUGAAAAAAUAUACCUAUUUGGUGGGUAUAUAAAAUAUUUUUCUAUUAGUCAUUUUCAUGAUUGUGCUUGGAGUAUUGAUGAUUCUCUUGUAUGUUAGAGCAUACUGAAAUCUUAAUAAAAGUAUUCUAAGCACCUCUAAUCCAUCAUAUUUACUAACAUUUUUCUUUUUAUUUUCUAAAUUUCAAUUUAAAGUUGUAAAGAUGAAUAAAGGAAGAAUACUAAUUUAUUACUAUAAUAUAAUCAUUUAAGAUUAAAGAAACUUCUCCUUUUCUUUUUUUUUUAAGUCAUUUGCUUCUUAUAUUUUGUUUUGCUCAGCGACGGUGUUAGUCUCUGGGUUGGUUAUUGUCCGCCUUUUUCUUCUCCCAUUAACCUUUUUUUUUCCUCCUUCUACACAUGUAUUCUCUCUUUUCAACUUGUAGAUCUAUUUUGUAAAUAUCUUUGUUGUCUUCACAAGUUGUGAUAGAUAGAUGACGGUGCCUGCCGUUUGCUAAAACUCCACUGACCACCAGUAGUUCUUAGAGAGUGGGUGACUCUUCGUCAACUUCUUAAUCUAUUUCUGUUUUGAGAGUAUUUUAGAACAAUAAAUGAUUUCAUGUGUCGAUUUGGACCCGUGUUAUCUUAAAUUUUAUAGGUUUUUGUUAUUAUUGAGUUGUUGUUGAGGAAAAUCUACAAGUGAUGGUGUUGUGGAAGUAGGGAACCAUUUUGGUAUCUUUUCAUGGAGUUUAUUAUAUUGAUAAGUAAUAAUAUUUUAUUAUCUAAAAUAGUUAAGUAAUUAGAAUUUGAAAUAUGAUUAUUCAUUAUUAGUUGUGUUGUAUAAUUUUAUAUAAAAUUGUCUUCAAAAGCAAUAUAAUCUUAUGAAAAAUUAUCUCGUGAAAAAAUGCAUCUAUUUGGUAGGUAUAUAAAACACUUUUCUAUUAAAUAUUUCCAUAAUUAUAUUUGGAGUAUUGAUGAUUUUGUUUUAUUUUGGAGACAUAUUAAAAUUUUAAUAAAAAUAUUUUACGUAACUCAAAUUCAAAUUCAUUAUAUUUACUAAUUUUUUUUUUAUUUUUUUCAAUUUUCUUAUUUAUUUUUUUCUAACAAAAAGUAUUUUUUUUAUAAUUUCAAUUAAAAGUUGUAAGGAUGAAUAAAGGAAGAAUAUCCAUUUAUAAUUAUAAUACAAGCAUUUAAGAUUAAAGAUGAAGCAAGAAUUAUUAUAUUGUUACAAAGUAAGGUAAUUAAUUGUUUCAUUUUGUUUGUAUAAAAAGAUUGUUUUAUUUUAAUGCUCAAAUCUGUUAAUAUUUGGCUGGUUUUGAUAGCUUAGAAUGAUUAUCUUUUCAAUUAAAAUAAUUAAAGUCGUAUACUAGUAACGAUUUGCAUAACUCGCUUAUAUCGUAGUUUACGCUUAUACGGUGCGGGUGUGUGAUCCAACUUAAAUAAACUUUACUAAGGUGAGUUUGCUGGUUAGAUUUCAGUAUUUCUUAUUUUUAAUGCUAUCGAUAAGGUAAAUCUUGAGUCCUGAGUUACAGCAUUAUUUAUCGGUUAGAUUUGUAAUUUCAAAUGAACUGCCUCUUGGUUACUAAGGGUGGGCUUGGAUGGGCGAUUGGGUGCGGUGCGGUGCGUUUAGCUUACUUUUUGUCUCACGCUACAGUAUCGCUAUAGUAUCUAAUCUCACCGCUACCGCUGUUUUUACACUAACCCCAAGUAAACGCACCGCACAUCCAAACUCACCCUAAACAAGUAAGGAGAGAUUGGUUGCCCAGCAUUAAGUCAGCGACUAUAACUAAUUUAUUAAAGGUGUAAAAGUUAUUUUUGCAUCAAUGAUCGAAUUCAUAAAUCAAAUAGAGAUUUACCUUUGACUAGAGCUUUUUCCCAUCAAUUUUUCUAAAACUUUUAAUUAUUGCUUUCUUCAACCUAAGUUUUCAAUUUAAAUUUAGCUUUAGUUUAACUUUAGUUUUCGAUUUCAUAAAAUCUCCCUUCCAAUUUACUUUUAUUAUUUUUUACUUGAAGAAAUAAAGUUAUUACUGAUCUCUAUAGAUACGACCCUACUUGUUGCUUUUACUAAUUACUCUUUUUCAAGUACGUUUUUUUUUGUAGGUCUCGACAACCUAACAUGAAGCAGUACACAAAUUUCUUUACAUGUGAAGAACUCUAACAGUGAAAAAGCAUACAAUUUUUUAUUAAUUGAUUUUAUUUUGAUAAUGUUCCGAGAAUUUCAGAGUUAACGAUAUUAUUUCGAGAAUAUAAGUAGUAAAUUUCUCGAGAGAAUAAAUAAAUAUUAUUUGAAUAAUAUUAGUAGAAUUAAAUUAGACAUCAAGAAAAAGUAUUAAAGGUGAUAAAAAUAUAAAUUACAAUUUCGGGUAAGGACUAUAUUAAAAUUGAAGAGAAAUAUAGACUUAAAAUGUAAUUUUACUACAUAUUUGAGUGGAAGGUGAGUUUUGAUAUUAGCCAUUAAAAACUAAUAACAAUUUAAGUAAGAAAUAUGUGACACAUAAAUAGCUAGGUGGCAAGUGAAAGAAUUGUCAAAUUUCUCGCCUUUACGUGGUGCUAUUACAUGGUGGGGGGAGACGUUUCUCAUGUUUUGGCAAAAGGGAGAAGAAAGAGAAGAGCCAAAAAUUUGAGUGUUUUAGGCAACUUGAAAGAAGAAGAAAACUUGCUAAAACCUUAACAUAUUGAUCAUUACUUCAUGAAAAUACUACCUUAAAUUUUAGUAUAGAAUUAUAGUAGGUUUGGAUGGACGGUGCGUUUACCUGUAGUUAAUGUAAAAACAGCGAUAGUAAUGAUAUUAGAUACUAUAGUGAUACUGCAAUGUGAGACAAAAAAACAAACCAAAUACACCUCACUGCACCCCACCACCCAUCCAAACCCAACCUUAAUCACUAAGACUUUGCUUGGUAGAGUAUAAAGAAAAUUAGAAGGAUGGAAAAAUGAGGGUAGAAAAACAAGAAAAAUGAAAAACAUAAAUCUUCUUUCAAUAGGCGUGCUUGGUAGGAAUGAUGGAAAAUGAGUAGAAAAUUUCGAGAGAAGAAAAUUUCAUCCAUUACUUAGUAGAGUUGAAAAUAAAAGAAAAGAAAAUAUAUUUGAAAAUACAUAAUUUUGAACUAAUAUCCACAUAUCUCUCUUUUUCUUUCCUCUAAUCAUUCCAAUUUGAAAAGAUAAAUUUUUAUGCAUUAGGGUGGAAAAUGCUCAUCCAUUCCAUUUUCUUUCUCUCACUUUUCUCCCUAACAAAGUACAUUUAAAAUUUAUUUUCUUUUCAUUUUUUCAUUCUCUUUUCUCAUCCUUUCAUUUUUUUUUACUCAACUAAGCACAAUCCAAAUCACCUAAUGUUGUUUGCAAUUAAAAGAGGGUGAAAUUGAUUAAGGGAAGCUAAGUUUCUACUAGUUAAAGUGAUAAGGAAGCAAGGUAUAAGAAAUGUUAGUUAAACAAGCAUUCUUUAUUCAAACUUAUAUUGCUAAUCUUAUGUUAUAAGAUGGUGACAAAAAAAUUUGUGUGUAUAUAUAGUGAAGAGAGAAAUGUAGAGAAUGGUUAUGGAGGAUGGUAAGGUGCAACUAAUAGGAGAUUAAUGAACAAGUGUUACAAAAUUUAGUUCAUCUUAAUUCUCGGUAGUAAUGGAAACUUUGUUGUUUAUGGAAUUGUGGUUGAAUUAUAUGUUGUAUUAAGUUAUAUGAAGGAUUAUAGGUUUUUAUAAUUUUUAAAUUUAAAUUCAGAUAAUAAUAUUUAAAUUUAAUGUAAAUAAUAAAAGAAUUUAAAAAUUAAAGCAGAAUUUGAAUUCAAGUAUUACAAAAAAAAAAAAAAAACGGUACACAUAUCCGACCUACCGUGAUCCCUAAAAAGAAGCCAUGCAAAUAUUCUUGCUCCCCCGCCUGGCCUCCAAGUAGGAAAAACAAAGGUUUCAUUGCAGUUGGGGGAGGAAAAUUCUCAGAUCUCUUGCCCUGCAUCGCUGAGAUUUACAAUUGUUUGGUUCCCCAAAGUCCAAGAAGAAAAUGAGUGAAGGCUAUGUUGACUCCGUUGUAGCUUUAAUUUAAUGCCCGAUGGCCUUCUGAGUGGAUGACUCAGAACCUGUUUUAGGCUGAUCUAAAGCUGAAGAAUCCAUUGCAAAAGAAUCGUCGGGGGUGUGUGCCGGACUUAACACACUGGCAUUUAAGAACGGAGGUUGUUUUGGACAAGGAAUUUCACAAUGUGCAUUGGUUAGCAUUUGAAGAACGUCAUGCAUGGAUGGUCUUAUUGCAACUGAAGGUUGAGUGCACAAAAGCCCAACUAGUAGCACAUUAGAUGCCUCCCUUUCCUCAAACUUGCCUUCUAACCCAGGGUCAAUUGAUUGUGUAAUGUGGUCUGCCUUGUAUUGCUUCCAAACCUGAUUGAAAAAGCACAGUAUUAAGAGCCCCUCUAUCCAUGUUCUAUAGUUUAAACAUUAACAUUAAAGAUAUCUGCUUGUAAGAAUAAUGGAUAUCUCACCGAGUACAAAAUUGAACUUGAACCCUCCGAGAAAACACUGUUUUUCCGACCAGUUGCAAUCUCAAGAACUAGCACCCCGAAUCCAUAAACGUCUGCUUUCUCUGUUAGUUGUCCCCGGACAAGGUAUUCUGGAGCCAUGUAUCCUCUGCAACACAGAUUAAAAGUUCAUAGUUGUAUCAUAUCAUAUCAUAUUGUUAUAUGUUUGUUUUGAUUAGAAAGCAAGUCUCAGUGAUUUUGCAUUUAUUUAUCUUUUUGCACCAAAACUAAGUAUCUUACAGUGUCCCUGCAAUUGCAGUACUGACAUGGGAUUUAUCCGAAGCAACGCAACGAGCAAGUCCGAAAUCAGCAAUCUUGGGAGAGAGAUGCUCAUCGAGGAGAAUGUUGCUGGCUUUGAUGUCUCUGUGAAGGAUUUUCACGCCAGAACCUCCAUGAAGAUAUGCCAGCCCUUCAGCUGUUCCACAUAUGAUGUUGAACCUCUGGGACCAGCUUAGAAUAUAUCUUUUGUCCUUAGCUGCAUCAAAUAAUCAUAAUAAGAGUGGAAAAUGGAGAAAUGUAUCAAAUGAUAAUAAGGAAAUUUAAGUUUAGAAAGCAUGCACUUACAGAAAAGGAUUUGAUCGAGGCUCCUAUUAGGCACAUAUUCAUAAACAAGAAGACUCUCUGGACCUUCAAUGCUGCAUCCUAAAAGCCUUACAAGGUUCUUGUGUUGAAUUCCACUGAUCAAAUUUACUUCAUUAAAGAACUGAUCCACCCACUGCCGAGUAUUGAAGAACAAUCUCUUAACUGCAACAGCUUCUGCGUUAGGUAGGACUCCUUUGAACACCGAGCCUGCUCCUCCUUGGCCUAAUUUCAUUGAUUCAUUGAAAUUAUUGGUUGCCUUUUCAAGCAUUUCAUACUUGAAGUUUAAACUAGUCUUGAGUCCGGUGGCCGGAAGGGCAUCUAGACCAGUCACCUCUACGAGAAAUCAACAGAAAAUAGUUAAACAAGUAAAAAAGGUUCAAAUUUCAAUCAUUUUGCUUUAUAUGAUAUAUGUAUAUAUAUACCUUCUUUUGUUCUGGAUAAUUUCUUGUAGCUUACAAAAGCACCAACGACAGCAAGCAAAAGGAAUGUAGCUCCAGAUAAAGCCACUCCUAGGGUGACCCAAUCUGUAAACCCUACAAACACAAAUUACAAGAAUCACUAUCCAACAUGACAGACAACAUAGAUAAAGAAGAAAAUCAAUGUGGGCAGCAAAAUUUACCCUUUUUUUCCACCGUUCCCGAACCAUGAUCAAAGAAUCUAUUGGUUGAAUACCUCAUAUAACACCCAGUAAACAAAGCCCGGCCUUCGGCUGCUGGGCCACACUCCCUCAGCCGCAUCCCUGCAUCGGUGAGGCACUUAUCGCAAGCUUGUUUAUCGAUGGUUUUCCAACACUGAGCCAAGGCGUAAACGGUUACCACCCCACCUUUCACUUCGGUUGUCCCAUAUCCAUUUUUCCGCAACGCAGCCUCCUCGACGUUCAAAAUCACAUGAUCUAACUUACUUUGAAAAUCCUGAGACAUGUAAGUGUCAUUGGAAUCACCUGUAGGGGAGCCACAGGUGACGUGAUCAUACUUUGGAUCAACCCCUUCGUUGUAAAAGUUAUAGUGAUCGAAACGAUGGAAGCAUUGGUCGAGAUAGACCCGGCCAGAUCUGGCAGGAAUGCAUUGUUGGAGUUUUUCUUGGGAUGUUUUGAAACAAAGUUCACAACCGUCAGCAUUCACAUCUUGGUAGCAUUGGGCUAAUCCAAAAAUAUUGUACUUCGGGUCUUCCUUAAACACGGUUCCCCAACUUUUAGAAGACACGAGUUCCCACAAUGAUUCCAUGGCUUCAUUAACUUUGUGACCAAAGUUGUCCGACGUUUGGUUGUUAGUUCCACAUAUAAGGUGGCCUUCAAAGGACAAGGAAGGGAAAAAACAUGAACAAAAUACCAAAAACAUCCAUAUUGUUUUUAUGUUCCAAGGAUAUGGGAUUGAUAAUCGCAUCGAAUUCUAUCUCGGUUGUUGGUGCAAUUUUUAUGAACACAUCGAAGGUUACCAGUUGUGUUGUCUUCUCUUGUCUUCUCUCCUAUCCUACCCCUCUCUCCCUGUGUUGUUCGGGUAAAUAUGGGUGUGGGGAUGGAGAGAGGAUUUUGAAGCCCAAGGCUAGGGAGGUAUGGAGUCGUUGUUGUGUGUACGAGGUAUGAUGUCUGGUGCUUUUUGCAUGCAUAAGGGAAGAUGGUUUGUUUUGUUUGUCUUUAUUGUUUCGGGGAGACAGAAAGAUAAAAAUGCAAGAAUCAAGAACUGAAUUUCGUUUCUCUUUGUUGUUUUAAGGCCAUUUUUAGAUAACUGAUUCAUGGCAUUUCGCUGUAAUGUAACCCUUGCGCCAACGUUCCAUAUCAGCCUUCAGCCGGCAACGUGGGUCGACUUCCACAACUGCCCCGCCUUGCGGGACAGCCAGCUUUGUUUAAAAUUGUAAUUAAAUAGCCAAUUCAGGUAAUUAAAUUUAGUAUAAUAAUACCAAAUUAGAACUUUUCUUUUUAUAUUUUUUUUAUGAAAACAAACAAAAGGAAUUAAACUAAAUUAAUUUGGCCACAAUUUCCUUCUAAUCUAUCGGAAACUAAGACUUUUAUUAUCUCCUAAGCGGACUCUCAAACACUUGCAAAUCUUCCCUCCUAUCAAAAGACAUUUUUGCCAUGCGUCAGCGGCUUGAAUCUUUUGUCUAGGAACAUGCCUUAAAGCCAAUAACUUUAAUGUUGCAAAACUUAUUGAAUCCGCUUGAGUCUCAAUGAAGCGGAUUCUCAAUGAACUGUCUUGGAUAACUUUGACCACCUACAAACUGUUAGAUUGAAUAACUACCUUUUUAUAGCCUUGUUUUUGAAGAAACACCAAACCAUCCAAAAUAUCUCAUAAUUUUAUAUCAAACACUGGGCAUUGCCCCAAAUGUCGAUUAUAUCCGAAAAUCCAAUCAUCAUUCCCAUCACACACUACUCCCCCAGCAACUCCAAUUCAUGAGUCCAAUUUAACAACACCAUCCCUAUUUAAAAGAACCAAAUUACUUGUCAAUACCUGACUAGAGCUAUCCUCAUGUUGGCUAAUCUAAGUAUUCUUAUGAAUUGUACUGCUUUGCCCAGCUAUAGGAGACUUCGACGAUCUCAAAAGGGCUCCAAGAUACACCUUGAAAGGUGAAGAGAUUUUUGUUCUUCCAAAUACGCUAAGCAAGCAAGCCAAAAAGACAAGGCCAAGGAAUCCCUCUUAUGAUUGUCCUCGAGUUACUCUAUAAAUUAGAGACAAGCCAUUCAUAGAAAUUAAUAGAGAAAAACAUGCUUCAAUGAUUAAUCGAAAUAACCUACAACAAAACUUCCUUGGCGACUGAAGAGUCUCUAAGCACGUGUAACAAAUCUUUUGAUGCAUGGCCACAGAACGAACAAGAACUAUCAUUUCCAAUUCCCUAUUUCACUCGUUCUACAUUGGUAAGUAAUCGUUGUUUGAGUACUAACCAAAUGAAAAACCUUGCCCUUUGGGGACCCUGAAACUUCAAUGCCAAUUUCCAUGUUGUAUCUCUAGGAGACCAAGUACGCUCUCGUAAUAGUUAGUAUGCACUUUUAAUGGAGAAAGAUCCUGUUGAAGUACCCAUCCACAUAAUUCUAUCCAGUUCCACUGUAGGAUGAGAAGGGGGAAUACUCACAAUACGUCUUAUGACAUCUUUCGAUGCCCAAACUCGAAAAAGAUCUGAUUUUACAUACCUUGUUCAUUAUCAUUUCACCAAGCAAACAAUCUGGAAUAAGGUUGGCUUGAAAAGGAAUUCGUAAAACUAAAAGACCUGCUUAGGGACCUAGAGAUCUGUCCAACACCGAAUGUUGUUACCAUUUCCUACUGACCAAGCUAGAUUACCACGAUGCAAAGGCUAGAUCUUGGCAAAGGUCUUCCAAAGGAAAGAACAUCUACCUCGAGAAAUACUUUCCGGUAAUCUCUCAUUUAGGUUAUACUUAGAUUGAAGAACACAGACCCAUAAAGCAUUAUCCUUUGAAACUAUAUUAAACCCAAGUUUCAGGAAAAAAGAUGUAUUAUGGUCCCGCAAUUGCCUAAACCCAAGACCACCAUAGCAACAAGGUUGACAAACUGAAUCCCAUCCAAUAAGAGCCAAAUUUUCCUACCAUUUGAGGCACCCCAAAUGAACUGCCUAGCCAUGCGUUCGAUCUCCUCACAGAUACCUUUGGGAAUAAUCAUGGAUUGCAUAAAAUAGGUAGGAUUCGAUAAUAAGACUACUUGUGCCAAAGUAGCUCUACCUGUCACAGCCCAAUAUUGACCCUAAUCGGACAUAGUGGUUCCGGGACCACAAAUCCGAGUAAAAAAAUAUUUUAAUAUUAUUUUGUGAGUUUAUUAUGUGUGAAUUUGAUUGUGUAAAAUUUUUGUGUUUUAAUUUCGUCGUUUAAGUGUCCGAUUUAAUAAAAGGGGCUUAAUCGCGUAAAAUGAAAAUUUAGGGGUUAAAUAUAAAAGCACCCAAUUGUUGUUGCCUUUUUAAAUGGGAGGAUUUAUGAUGCAAUAAGACCAAAAGAAGGAUAGUGGGUGGCAUUUGAAAAAACUAACCUUAAGUUAUAUGUUAUAUAUUAUUAUAAGGUUAAUUUAGUAAUUAGGUAAAUUAUAACAUUAUAAUAAAAUAAGUCAUAAAAAGAUGAAAGCAUUCAUCUUUGUUAGCCGAAUGUUGAAAAGGAAGAAACCAUCUAUGGCUUCUUAGGUUUCGGCAUUUUCUUAGCUUGAUUAAGGUAUGUUUUAGUUUCGAUUUUUGAUUAUUUUUAUGUUUUUGUGAUCGUUGCUUCUUGUUCUAUCUAGCCCAUGCUUUAAUUUUAGAAUUUGAUGGUCAUUUUGAGAUAUGUCAUUGAUGAAUGUUUGAGCUUUGUGGUAUUUGAUGAUGAAAUAUGAAAGAUAUGUGAAAGAUUAACAUGUUUUGUCUUUGAAUUUUUGGUGAAAUUGAGUAAUUAGGGCUAAAUUGUGAAAAUAAAUUUUUGAGGGACUAAAAUGUGAAAUAAAUAAAAUGUGAGGACUUGUAUGAACAUUAGGAAUAUUCGGCCCUAGCAUGGAUUGUUUAAAUUUUGUGCUUUAUACAAUAUGGACUAAAUUGCAAAAAGUGUAAAAUAUCAGGGGCAAAAUGGUAAUUUUCCAAUUUAUGUGUUUUUGGACUAAAUUGAAUAGAAUAAUAAUUAACUAGUUUAUUUUGAAUAUAUUAAGAUCAAGAACCAAAGAAAUCGGAGUUGUGGAUCGAGGAAAAACUAAAGUCGUCGAUUAAUUACCGGUUUCGAUUUUCACCGUUCGAGGUAAGUCUAUUAGAAAUUUAAUGUUAUUAAAUCAAUAUAUAUAUCAUAUAUUUAAUAAGCUGGAAUUAAUAGUAUAUAAAUCGAUUAGAACUUUGUGAUUUUCAUAUGUGUUAGCCGAACAUAUGAACUGAAUUAGUUAGAUUCAAAUUAGUGGUAUAACUUACAUGUAUAUUAGCUAUGGUAUGCUUUAAGCUCAAUGAAAUGAAACUAAUAGUAGAAUUUACAUGGUUAAAGUUCGAAUCUGUGAUACAAGUUUAUUGAGUUGAACUUAAUAUUAUGAAUUUUAUAUACAUAUGUGGUUCGAAUAUUAGUUACCAAUUCCUUGAGCUGAAGUUAAAGUUGUGAAUUAUACAUAUAUGUUUGAAUGUGUGGUUGCUAUGAAGAAUUUAAUAUAAUUCAAUUUUUAUGGAGAUACGGUUAUUGAGUAAGAUUUAUGUAAUCAUAAAGAAUUAUAUGAAAGAUCAUCUUUGUAUAUGAGAUUUUCAGGCUUUGUGCCUAGCAAGCUUAAUGCCGGUAAAAUAUUUCAGACUUUACGUCUAGUAGGCUUAAUGCCGGUGAAAUAUUUCAGACCUUACGUCUAGCAGGUUUAAUGCCAGUGUAUUGAAUCAGGCUUCAAGCCUAGCAGGCUACACGUCGGUGAAUCUAUUCAAUAUAUGUGUUUAGAAAGUUUAUGUUUAUUGUCAACGUAAUAUCAAAUGGAUUGUAAAAAAAAUUAAAUAAACAUGUAUGUAUUAUGAUAUAUCCUGUUCGAUGUUGAGGUAAGUAUAUUAAUUGAUUGUAUAUAAAAGUGAUAUUGAUAGAUAUAUAUAAGUAUUUGUCAAAUAAAUAUUCGGCCUUAUGCUAUAGUAAUUUCAAUUCAAAAGUUUAUAUAAUGUUUAUUAGAUGUAAUGAAAUUGUUCUAAGGUUAAUAAAUGUUUAGAUAAUAAUUAUAUGUGGUACUUACGGUUUUAAUAAAUUUACUUAAGGAAUUAUAUGAUUUUUAUAUAUUUUUGUUAUGUUAAAGACUUACUAAGCUUUAUAAGCUUACUUGGUGUGUUUACGUUUCUCUGUUUUAUAGACUUUUAAAUCAAGCUUCAAGCUCGGGGAUCGUCAGCAAAAUUCAUCACUCUAUCUACUAUUUCGGUAUUUAAAUGUUUGAACUCAAUUUAUGGCAUGUAUAGGUUGGAUGAUAUUUUGAAUGUCGUAUUUUGAAAUUUUGUAACUGUAAUUAAUAGCCAUGCGAAAGUGGCUUAUUUUCUUGCAGUUGAGUUUGUUUUCAAUGCAUAUGUUUUGUACUAAUGGUUUAAAACCAAGCUUAUACUUAUGCAUAUUUGAUCGUGGUUUAAGCUUAUGAUAUAUAAAUAUAUGUGAUGCAUAUGUCUUGUUUUUUUUUUGAAUUUGAUGAUUCGGCUAUGGAGUUAGUUAUUUGGCCGAAAGUACAUGUGGUUGAAUGACAUUUAGUUUGAAUGUGUAUGGGUUAUAAUAAAUUAGUUGGUAUUAGUCAAAUAUGUCAUAUACAUGUAAUAUGUUUUGGAUUUGGUAUUAUAUGAAUUCGGUUAUAGGUAAAUGGUUUAGCAUGUUUUAGAUUAAAUGGUUGAUAAAUUUAGUUCAUGAAAGGUGUUUAUAUUAACAAAAUGUUAUGAAAUAAAUUAGUAAUUUGCAUAUGUAUAUUGGAUUAUAUGAAAUUUAAAAUUAUGUAUAAUUUUGUAUUAAACUAAUUAUGAGUAUAAGUAUAGUUGACUUGUAAAUUGCAUAUUCGGCUUAUGUUUCUUUUAAAAUGGCUAUAAUAAUAUAUUCAUUUGUGCUAGUUGAUAAUAAAUAAUAAUGUAUGUUUUAAAACUCUUAAAUAAUAUAUUAUAUACAUAUGUAUGUAUUUAAAGUAAGUUUGAAAUCUAUAAACUAUUUACCUAUACAUUCAGCUAAAGAUAGUAACAUUAAAAUGAAAAUUUUUGGGUUUAGUAUGUAAAGCAUUUCAAUUUUAAUGGCUGGCCAAAUAUGUGUAUAUGAAUAAUUGAGUAGUAAGUUCAGGUAUAUUUUGAGUUAAACUAUUAGCAUGUGAAUUGUUUAAAUUCUUGAAUUCUAAUGAACGUCUGUUCUGAGUUGUGUUAUGUCCGGUAAUGCCUCGUAACCUUAAUCCGACGACGGAUACGAGUUAAGGGUGUUACACUACCAGCUAAAUAUAAUUGUCUGGCAUCCCAACUUUGUAACUUACUAUGAACUUUUCCCACCACAAAUCUCAAGUAACUAGUAGUAACACUCUCAUGGAAUAAAGGUACACCUAAGUAGUGUCCAAGAUUAUCCACUUAUUAAAAACCAAGCAAAUCACUAAUCAGCAUCUCUAGAUCAUCAUCAACUGUACUGGAAAAGAAGAUAUUUGUUUUUAGAGCGUUAACCUUAUGCCUAGAGAAAGUACAGAAACACUCUAAAAUAUCCUUAAGAAGUCGAGCUUGUUGUAUAUCCACUUUGCUAAAAAUAAACAAAUCGUCGGUAGAGAAAAGAUAAGAUAUAAUCGAACCAGUCUGGGAUAACCAGAUAAGACACCUCUUACCUAUAAAUAUAGCAGAGUGGAGACUAUGUCCAAGGCAUUCCAUACACAAUACAAAGAGGUAGGGAGAAAAAGGGCAUCGUUGUCGAAUCCCUCUGACAGGCCUGAAUUUCUAAGUCGACACACCAUUCCAGAAUACUUGCAUGGUAGAAUUAGAAAUAGCAGACAUAAUUAAAUUUUUCGGUAAAAUUUAAUUCUGAAGUAUCUAGAGUGACUGUAGAAGUAUCGAGUCCGUUGGGGCAAACAGUAUUAGUGAAUCAGGUUUGUCCGAGAUGCCCGUUAAUUAUACAAAAUAAAACUUUUCCUAUUGACCUGUUGAUUAUGCCAUUUGGGGAUUUUGAUAUAAUACUGGGGAUGGAUUGGUUGUCUGAACACGGAGUGGUAUUGGAUUGUUAUAAAAAGAAGUUUAGUAUCCAGACAGAAGCCGGGGACAGAAUUAAGGUAAAGGGUAUUUGUAGUAAUGGACCGGCACGUAUUAUUUCAGCGAUAAAGGCUAAUAAAUUACUUCAGCAAGGUUGUACAGCAUAUUUAGCCUAUGUUAUUAAUUCUGAUUUGGUUGGUAGUCAGUGCAGUAAGAUCAGAAUCGUAUGUGAGUUUCCAGAUGUAUUCCUUGAAGAACUACCGGGUUUACCAUCUGACAGAGAGGUUGAAUUUGCUAUAGAGGUGUAUCCGGGUACAGCACCAAUCUCUAUACCACCGUAUCGAAUGUCGCCCACUGAGUUAAAAGAGUUGAAAGUGCAGUUACUGGACUUGUUAGAUCGUGGAUUUAUUAGACCGAACAUUUCGCCUUGGGGAGCUCCAGUAUUGUUUGUUAAAAAGAAAGAUGGAUCGAUGCGGCUUUGUAUUGAUUACCGACAGUUAAACAAAGUGACGAUCAAGAACCGUUAUCCGUUGCCCCGUAUAGAUGAUUUAUUUGAUCAGCUAAAAGGAGCUUCAGUAUUUUCGAAGAUUGACUUGAGAUCUGGGUAUUAUCAGCUGAAAGUAAAAGAAAGUGAUGUGCCAAAGACUGCUUUUCGUACUCGAUAUGGUCAUUAUGAAUUUUUGGUAAUGUCGUUCGGGUUAACUAAUGCUCCAGCUGCUUUUAUGGAUCUGAUGAAUCGUAUUUUUCAGCCGUAUUUAGAUCAGCUUGUGGUGGUUUUUAUUGAUGACAUCUUGGUUUAUUCGAAGUCAGAGUCAGAGCAUGAUCAGCAUCUCAGAACCGUGUUACAGAUUCUGCGGAAAAAAUAGUUGUACGGGAAACGAAGUAAAUGUGAAUUCUGGUUAUCAGAAGUAGUAUUCUUAGGACAUGUUGUAUCUGCGGAUGGGAUUAGAGUUGAUCCGAAGAAGAUCGAGGCAAUUGUUCAAUGGAAGGCACCAAAGAAUGUAUCAGAGGUACGCAGUUUUCUUGGUUUGGCUGAGUAUUACAGAAGAUUUGUAAAUGGGUUUUCGAAGAUAGCUUUGCCGAUGACCAAGUUACUACAGAAGAAUGUUUCAUUUAUCUGGGAUGAUCAGUGUCAGAGAAGUUUUGAGACAUUAAAACAAAUGUUGACAGAGGCACCAGUCCUAACUUUACCAGAAUCAGGGAAAGAUUUCAUAGUGUACAGUGAUGCUUCUUUGAAUGGUUUGGGUUGUGUAUUGAUUCAAGAUGGAAAAGUAAUAGCUUAUGCAUCUCGACAGUUGAAGCCACAUGAGUGCAAUUACCCGACACACGAUUUGGAGUUAGCUGCUGUAAUCUUUGCAUUGAAGAUUUGGAGACAUUACUUGUAUGGUGAGAAAUGUUAUAUUUAUACUGAUCAUAAAAGUCUUAAAUAUCUUUUUUCACAAAAGGAGUUGAAUCUGAGGCAGAGACGAUGGAUAGAACUUCUGAAAUAUUAUGAUUGUGUUAUAGAUUAUCAUCCAGGAAAGGCGAAUGUAGUAGCAGAUGCAUUGAGCAGAAAAGUAGCGGUUGAAUUACGGGCAAUGUUCGCUCGGCUUAGUAUUAAUGAUGAUGGAAGUUUGUUAGCUGAGUUAAGAGUCAAUCCGGUAAUGUUUGACCAAAUCAGAGCAGCACAGCUAAAAGAUGAAAAAUUGAUGAAGAAAAGAGAAAUGGUACAGUAUGGUGCGGUGGAAAAUUUUAGUAUUGACGAGCAUGAUUGUUUGAGAUUUCAGAAUCGAAUUUGUGUUCCAACUACUUCUGAGACUAAAGAACUGGUUCUCCGAGAAGCACAUGAUAGUAUUUUUGCUUUGCACCCAGGUGGAACGAAAAUGUAUCGUGAUCUACGAGAACUGUAUUGGUGGCCAGGGAUGAAGAAAGAUAUAAUCGAGUAUGUUAGUAAAUGCUUGACUUGUCAGCGGGUAAAAGCAGAACAUCAGGUACCAACAGGUUUGUUACAGCCUAUUACUAUUCUCGAGUGGAAAUGGGAUUGCAUUACCAUGGAUUUUUUUACGGGAUUGCCAUUGCCAGUGAGUAAAAAGAAUGCCAUUUGGGUGAUUGUCGAUCGACUCACAAAGUCAGCUCAUUUUAUAGCAGUUAGAACCGACUGGUCACUACAGAAGCUUGCCAAGGUUUAUAUUCGGGAAAUUGUUAGAUUACAUAGUAUUCCGAUAUCGAUAAUUUCAGACCGAGAUCCUCGAUUUACAUCGAGAUUUUAGAGGCAGCUACAUGAAUCAUUGGGUACUCGACUUAAUUUCAGUACAGCUUUCCAUCCUCAAACUGACGGACAAUCUGAACAGGUAAUUCAGAUAUUAGAAGAUAUGCUUCGAGCUUGUAUCAUUGAUUUUGAAUCAGGUUGGGAACAAUAUCUGCCACUAGCAGAAUUUAUUUAUAAUAAUAGUUUUCAAUCUAGUAUUUAAAUGGCUCCGUAUGAAGCACUUUAUGGUCGAAGGUGUCGAUCACCAGUGUGUUGGAUAGAAUUAAAAGAAAGAAAAAUGAUUGGGCCGGAAUUGAUUCAAGAAACAGAAGAAACAGUUAAAAAGAUUAAAGAUAGACUGAAAGCUGCUUUCGACAGACAGAAAUCUUAUGCGGAUUUGAAACGACGAGAUAUUGAAUAUUCCGUUGGUGAUAAGGUAUUCCUCAAGGUAUUACCGUGGAAGAAAAUUUUGAGAUUUGGUCGGAAGGGAAAAUUGAGUCCACGUUUUAUUGGGCCGUAUGAGAUUGUGGAAAGAAUUGGGCCUGUUGCUUAUCGAUUAGCUUUACCUCCAGAAUUACAGAAAAUUCAUGAUGUUUUUCAUGUUUCGAUGCUUCAGAGAUAUAGAUCGGAUCCUUCUCAUAUCAUUCCCACUGAAAACAUUAAAAUUCGAUCUGAUUUAACAUAUAAAGAAGAGUCGGUUCAGAUAUUAGCACGAGAAGUGAAAGAAUUAAGAAAUAAACGGGUUCCUUUAGUAAAAGUUUUAUGGAGAAGUCAUAGUGUGAAAGAAGCGACUUGGGAACCGGAAGAGACGAUGAGAGCACAAUAUCCUCAUCUCUUCUCAGGUAAAUUUCGAGGAUGAAAUUUAUUAAGGGGGAGAAAUGUAACGACCCAAAAUCCAUGGGCACCGGAAAAGUGUGUGUAUUAUCGGGCCUCCGUCUUAGUGAAUUGAGUUCGAAAAUAAUUAUUAGAAGUAAUUAUGAGUUUAGUGAGUGAUUAAUUAUGUAUUAAUUAAGUGAAUUUAGUCUAAUUAAAAAUGAUUAGGAAAAAUGAUUAAAUUGCAAUGGAAGUGAAAGUUUAAUUAUAGAUUAAAAGAAAGUUAAAAGGACUAAAUAGGCAAAUAUGCCAAGUCCCAUAAAUGAGGUGGCAUAUGCAUUAAAUUCAAGAUUUUGUUUAAGUUAUAUAUAAAUAUUAUAUGUAUAUAAAUUAUUAUAAUUAUUAUAAUUAUUUAUUCAAAUGGUAAUUUAUAUUAAUUGAAUUAUUUUAUUAUGGAAUAAAUUAAAAUUAAGACAAAUGUAUGGUGAAAAGAUGGUACAAGUGUAAUAAUAAUAUAUAUACACUUGUAUUAUAAUUAUUAUUUACUUAAAAUUUAAGUAAAAGAUAUUAAUUAAUUAAUUAUAUUAUGAGAUUUUUAUUUGGUAAACAAAUUAAAUAGUGACAAUUGUAUGGUGUUGAUGGUGUACAAAUGUGAAUAUAUGAUUGAAUAUUUAAUAGGUAUUUAGAAUAAAAUAUAUAAAGUAAAUAAAAUAAAAUGAAAUAAAAGAAAGAAACAGAAUAGGCAAGUGAAAAAUAAAAACAGAGAAAGAGACGAAACAGAGGAGAAACAGGGGAGAAAGAAGAAAAAGAAAGAAAAAGGGGAAAAUAGAUUUUUAAAGCUUGGAGUUAAUUUGGUAAGUCAAUUAAGCCCUUUUUAUUUAGUUUUGAUGAUUUAGAAGUUUUAAAACAAAGUUUUGAUGAAAUUAAGUUAAUAUUUUGGAAGUUUAUAGUUUUUUUUAAGCAUGAUUCAUGUUGAAUAAAUUGCUGAAUUAGGGAUUUAAUUGAAUAAAUUUCAAGUUAGAAUUGAUAAAAGGAUUAAAUUAUAAAAGAAACUAUAAGUUUUAUGUGUUAGGGACUAAAUUGGGGAAAAUUCGAAAUUAGGAAAAUAUGCUGAAAUUUUAAUAGUUAAAUUUAAGUUUGGAUGAAAUUUGAAUAGAAAUAGAGUGUGAAUUGAAUUAGGAAAGUAAGUGAAUUUUGUUAGGAUUAAAUUGAGAAUAAUGAAGAAAUUGAAUAGAAAUUUAAUUAUUUAUCAUAAUUAGUGUUGAAAUUAAUAGUAUAAAUUAUUAUUAUUUUCGUAGCUAACAAAGAACCCGAGGCAUCGCCAUCAAAAGGAAAAGGGAAAGCUAUCGAGGACUAAAGCGGGAGAUUUACGGUUUGUAUUACCAUAAUUCAAGUUAUUUAUUAUUAAAUGUUAAAUUUUAAAUUAUGUGUUUAGUAAAUGAAAUGUGAGGUAAGUAUUAAUAUUAUUAUUAUUAUUAUUAUUAUUAUUAGUGGGAAUUAAAGUGAAUAGUCGAUAUGAAUAAAUAUUUGAAUUGUUUGUUGAUUGAAAUUGGGAAAUGAAUUUGAAUCGAAUUGUGAAUGGUAUUAAAUUGUAUGGAAAUGUAUUGAGUUGUGAAAAUGUGUGAAUUUGUGAAAUAAUUAUUGAUUGAAAGGUGGAAAAAUGAUUGAAUUGAAAAUGUGAGAAAUUGUAAUUGAAUUGAGAAUAUAUGUGAUUUAAAUACCCUAUUAACUAGUCGGGCUGAGUCGGAUAUAGUUGGCAUGCCAUAGGAUUGGAAGAGUUCAGGGAUACUUCGACCUCGAGUCGAUGAGACACUGGGUGUCACUAUAUUCCUUCGGAUAGAUUCGAUGAGGUACUGGGUACCAACUUUCUUCGGCUUUGCCGAUGAGACACUGGGUGUCAACUAUUGCUUCGAACUAUUCGAUGAGGCACUGGGUGCCAUUCUGGUGUGUUUGGUUGGAUCCGUGUAUCCACCAAAGUCCGAGUUUUGUUAACAGGGUAAAUGAUGAAAUGAUAAACCGAAUGAGUUGGUCAAAUGAGCUAUUGAAAUGAAAUGAAAAAGUUGAAUUGUGAAUCGAAAUGUGAAAUGAGAUUGAGAAAUGAACCUAAGGUUCAUGAUUUGUUCAAACUCAAAUUAUGGAUAUACGAUAUUGGUUGAUGAAUUGCUAUUGUUGAGAUAUUGAAUUUAAAUUGUCUAUGCGAAUUAUGCAUUACAUGUUUAUUAUUGUUAUAAUUUGAAUUAUGGUAAUACCACUGAGUAUGAAAUACUCAGCGUACGGUUGUUUCCGUGCGCAGGUCGAUAGAAGUCAAAGGUCCCGAUUCAGCAUCCAGAUCAAUUCCGACUUCAGCGUAACUUUGGUGAUGUAUAUUUUGUUUGGUAAAUGUGGCAUGUACAUAGGAUGUGUAUAAAGAUUAUUAUGUUUAAUAUAAAUGGUUAAAAAUGUUAGUAUUAUAAGUUUAAGAUUUAUAAUGAAUGAAGUUUACCUAAUUUGAUUUAUUUAUUGUUUUGUUAAAUUUAAAUUAAUAUCAUGUAGAUUGAGUUUGAUUAGAAGUAUUUAGAAUAGAAAAUGUGAAUGUGAAAUGAAUUGGUUGAUUGGUUAUAUUUGAAAAUGAUAUGGUUUUAAAUUGCAGGGGUUUGAUGUAAAAAUAAGCAGAAAUGUUGCCGAAAAUUUUCUAAAAAUGAAUGAAAUCAAUUAGUAAAAUUUAUAACAGUUUAUUAAUUAUCUUAAUAGGUUGGUUAUUUAUUUAAGAAUUAUUUUUAAAUUUCUUGGUAUAUCCGGUAAUGCCUCGUAACCCUGUUUCGGCGACGGUUUGGGGUUAGGGGGUGUUACAGGGUCCAGGUGUUGUUACGGACAAGAGCAUCCAACUCAACAAGAACAGCUUCUUUCCAGAGGGGAUGAGCCAUAGCAGCAUGAACGUUCGUAGGAACAUCAGGCGAUAAGUCAACACCACUUAUGUAAAACUUCGGUUUAAAAAUGCCGGCUUUGCUGCGGGUGACCAUAGCAUCAGAGUUUUGUGGAGUAGGAAUGGGAGAUGAUAUAGGCACAAGGACAAGUGAGUGAGUUAGUGACGCAGUUGAGGGACCAGUCAACAUGGGAGAGAUAGGUGAGUCAGGUUGUGGACAGACCAGUGAAGUAGGUAGGGAGGGUGGUAAGGACAAAGUAGGUUGACUAGAAGACUGAGCGGAUGACCCAUGAAGGUUUAAUCUGGGAGCUAGAACCAUCAACCUGGAGCUAGUGUGAGAGGGUGUAGUGACUGGGGUUGUUUUGGAACAAGUGUCUUUGAACUGAAAUUGAUCUUCAUGAAAUGUUACAUGUCGAGAGAUGUAAAUUCGGCCAUUGCUAUCUUGGCAACGAUACCCUUUAUGAAGAGUAGAGUAUCCGAGAAAAAUGCAAGGAGUGGAUAGAAAUUGGAGCUUAAGUUUGUUAUACAGUCUAAGGUUUGGAAAACACAGGCAUCCAAAGGUUCUAAGGAAGGAAUAGUUGGGCUUAGUUUGAAAAAGCUUUUCAUAAGGAGAAAUAUAUCCUAAAGGUGCAGAGGGUAAUCUGUUAAUGAGAUAGGCAACAUUGCUGAAAGUAUCAUUCCAAUAUGUCACUGGUAUUGAGGCAUGAACGAGCAUAGAGAGCCCAGUUUCAACUAUCUGGCGAUGCUUGCAUUCAACCAAGCCAUUUUGGGCUGACGUGUAGGGACAUCUGACUCUCUGCAGAAUUCCAUGCUGAGCGAGGUAGGGUCGAAGAGCUUGAAACUCACCCCCACCAUCUGUUUGUAGUGAUCGAAGCUUCAGCCCAAGAGCCCUCUCAACAUGUUUGUGAAACUAAGGAAAAACAGUGACAACUUCUGACUUUUUAUGCAAGAAAUAGAGCCAUGUAAAUCUUGUAAAAGCAUCUGUAAAUGCUACAUAAUAUCGAAACCCAUUCGAUGUUACCGGUGCUGGACCCUAGACAUCUGCUGCUACAAGUUGUAAAGGUGCAACAUAUUGAGUCUCUGAGGAGGGUAAGGGCUGUUUAUGCUCUUUACCUAAGUGACACGCAACACAUGCAAACAUAUCUUUAUUGUCAUAAAAAACCAUAUUACAACACUGUAAUGCUUUGAUCAGUACAUUUCUGCAAGGAUGACUUAGCCUAGCAUGCCACAGACUUAGAGGGACUGAAGCAUGAGUUUGAAAACAACUAGCUGCCUGACUAGGCUGAUCAUUCUUAAGAGUGUUGUUGAAAUGAAGCUUAUACAGGCCAUGCUGCACUGAACCUUGAAGAAGCACCUCAUUGGUCUUUAAGUCUCGAACUUGACAUUGUGAAGGAAAGACACAGAAAGCAGGUUUUUAGUUAUUCAAGGUGUAUAUAGUAAAGACUUCAUGUAAAGUGGUCGUGUCUUAGUAAUAAGAGCUGACUGACCGGAGCAUAACACAGGCAGAGAAUUACCAUUACCAACAUACACCCUACCUGGUCCAUGACGAGACGUGUUAUCAUCAAGAGAUUCAACUGAGUGAGUGAGAUGAUGCGUUACCCCAGAAUCGGGAUACCAUGCAGCAUCCUCAACCGUAUCAGGAGUAGUUACCAUAGCAUGGGGUUGAGGAGCAGACACAACCAUGGAUGGAACCUGUUGCACUGGGUUACCAACAAAAGAAUUUGGCCAGCUAGAAGGAGGAGUCACCUGAUAUGUCCAGUUAGAGUAUGGAACCAUAGGAGGAGCAGCCAUACAGACAUUAGCUUGUGGAUGAGGCCUGUAGUUAGUGCUUUUGUAGGACGAAUCAAACCGGUAGUAGCAACGGUCCACAAGAUGUCCUAUUUUACCAUAUAAUUGACAUUGAAAUCGCAUGCUAGAAGAACGGCCACGCCCACGACCACGAGAGGUAGAUGGCCGAUAAACCGGUGUGGACCUCUCAGUAGGAGAGUCAACAGACUGCUGUGAAACUAGAUUGGCAGAGCUAGGAGCCUCAACCAUUAGAGCUUGUUGUCGAGACUCAGCAUCAAUAGCAUAGUCAUGACACUCUAAAGGCUGUACGCGUUGGACUGGCGACAAUGAUAGAAACAAUUGCCUCGUACUCAGAUGGUAGUCCAUUUAAGAUCGCUGUGAUAUGUUCGUGUUCGCUGAUGAUCUCCCCACAGCCAGCCAAAUUAUCACAAAAACACUUAAUCUUCAUUAAAAACUCUCGCAUAGAGAGAUCGCCCUUUCGUUGUGAGUGCAAAGCACGGCGAUAGAACAUUAGCCGUGAAGUAGACUUGCUUCCAUACAAUGACACAAUAGCAUUCCAGAUUUGUGCACUCGUGUCCAGACCAAUUAGAUCAGGUAGAACUGUUGUACUAGCUGAAGACAAAAGCCAAGAAGCAAGCGUGCUAUCUUGCUGUUCAAACCUCGCAAAGUCAGCAUUUUCUUGAGACACCCCAUUAUCAUCAAGCACCGUCGAAGGAGGUGGAAUAGUCUUUAAAUCAAUAAAACUUUGCAGUUUAUAAACUUUAACUGCCAAAAGAAUUUACUGAUGCCACAAAAGAUAGUUAGAGUCAUCAAGAAGAACACUAACCUUCUUGGUUGAGAAAAACCUAUUAUCAACAACACCAGUAAACAGAUGAGAUGCCAUCAUGGAAAUGGCAGACUGAGCAGCAGAUGGACUCGAUGGAAGAUCCAUGCAAACAACAGACACACAGAGAUUUUAUCCCAGGAAAAAACUAACCUCUGAUACCAUGUUGAAAUAUACUAAGCAAACAGUAACUGAUGAAUAUUAUCAACUUGUAUUACUGAGAAAGCUCAACACAUGUAUUUAUACAGCAUCGAUAGAUUGUAACUUCCUUAACUAACUAACUGCUCACUAACUACUGACUUGAUGACUAACCAACUUCCUUAUAUUACUAUAACAUUGAGCAAUGAUCUUGGGAAAAAUAAGUUUGAAAUGGUUGGCAAUUAACUUCAUAAUUAAUUUGUAUAAAACAAAACACAGGCUGAUAGGCGAAAUUGAGCAAAAUUCUCAAGGCUUGCUACCUUAGGAAUAAGCACAAUCAGUGUAUUGUUCAACUUUGGAUCUAUAAUUUCUUCGGCAAAUACCUUUUUGACCUAAGCACAGAUAUCAGCAUCGACUUCCUCCCACUGAUUCUAAAUGACCCGUGGCCCUUAAGAGAUCACUUUUUCGAAGUCGCUUUUGUCUUGAAACUUUACCAAAAAAUAUCCAUUCUCGAUAUCCCUGAUGAGAAGUUGAUGAACCCUUUUUGAAAAUUCAAUCGAAGGGAUGCCAUUAACCGUAGACUUCUUGAUAUCUCCAUAAAAAAAAUCAAAAUCAUUAUCCCCUUAGGAUCCAGUAGAUUCAGUCACCUUCUUCAGAUUUGAAUAACAUUUUCCUAAAAGCCUAUGUUUCCACCAUAGAGUCGGAUCAGAUGACAGGUCCAUAGCCUUAACUACAUCGGAUCACACCUGUUGGUCAUUAAAUCUCACAUACUUGGUGUGUCGAUCUUCUGUAGCACGUUCGUCAAUCCUAUCCCCUUCAUAGAGAGAGCUUGACAGCACAAAGAGACAGUUUUAAGCAUACAUAAGAUGCAAAGAGAAAGAAGGGAUUAAAGAACGAGAUGACUAGGUUGACUGGGAUUGGGAUCACUCUGCACAAGCUUUGCAGCUUUGUUGUUUUUUUCUUAAUUUUUCCCUCUCCGAUCCGAUCUUAGUUUGCCCACAAAAAAACCAAAUAAAAACUUACUGCUCUCCCAAGGUAUUUCAUAAUCAUUACUGUAGGGGAAAAAAAGUUAGUAAAAUCAAAAGCAAAAUUCAAUGAUUUGAUUAUGUCUUCUUUUUAAAUAUUUAAAUAGUAAUUGUAAAGACCUUAUUUUGCCCGGGCCCAUAUAAACCCUAGCCCGAACCUACCAACCCAAAAAAAUUUACUGACCCAAUUACAAUAACAGACCUACAACCCAAAAUUCAAAAGCCCAAAUGGCCCAAAGUGUUUGACAUUUUCAAAAUGCCAAAAACCCUAGGGUUUCUGGCGCCGUUCCCCUGCUGCUACCCAUGUGAGCCUUCAGCGCGCACCACGCCCGAGGCCUGCCACCACCAGCUGGCCUUGCACCGAAACGGCAAGUUGACCUUGCCAUGUACCUGCAAACAAGUAGCAAAAAGAGAGAAAUGGAAGCAGACUAGAAAAACAGUAGCAAAAGAGGGAAUUUUCCUGCAUUUUUCAUCUUUUCUUUCGGCUAUAAAGCCAAGUAUGUGGUGAAAUGUAAAAGGGGGGAUUUUGGUAAAAAAAACACAUUAGCAUAAAGAAAUAAAAGCAAAAAACAAAUUCAAGGUUUUUUUUAUAUUAGAUUCAUACUUUUUUUAUUUUUUUAUUUUUUUGUACAUUAAAUAGAUAAUAAAGGAAAGGGAAAAGAGAUUACCCGAAUUACCCCGUCGUUCCACCGUCUUGGGCUUCGCCGGAUUGGUGUUGAAAGGAGGGGCUAAGGGAUUUCUUCUUCUUUUUUAGGGUCGAAAAUCCAUACCUUCAGGUUCAUUUUGGAACACGGCCAAAGAGGGCCUUCUCACGCCGCAUCGGCCUUUGGCCGCGGUGGUCACACGGCAAAGCGCCGUUGAGACAAGCGCCGGAGUUCAGAGAACCAAAGAGGGAUGGGGAAGCUCCCUCUCUUUCUUUUUUUUAUUCUUGCGGCUAUAAA